Molecule: long non-coding RNA, 14331 nt
Filed under: Theobroma cacao (cacao)
Lineage: Eukaryota; Viridiplantae; Streptophyta; Magnoliopsida; Malvales; Malvaceae
Description: long non-coding RNA (TCAC_LNC004149)
Source: RNAcentral
ACACAUGCCACUCGUCUUGCGAGGUAUGACAUGCACAUUACCAGGAGGGUUGAAAACUGGCAUUGUAGGGAGAACAGGGAGUGGUAAAACAACUCUCAUACAAACACUUUUCCGCAUAGUUGAACCUGCAGCAGGUCAGAUUAUAAUUGAUGGCGUUAAUAUCUCAUCAAUUGGACUGCAUGAUUUGCGGUCAAGACUCAGCAUCAUCCCUCAGGAUCCUACCAUGUUUGAAGGGACUAUACGGAGUAAUUUGGAUCCUCUUGAAGAGCACUCAGACGAACAGAUUUGGGAGGUGGGUUCAUUUCAUUUUGAUUACGAGAGAAAAGCUUUUCUGGUCUGUACCAUUUAUUUUCGAAUAAAAUGCUGUGUUUAUGAUUGGUAUUUGAAGUGUGAUAUGUAUUGAUGUAUGUUUUGAUUUUUUAAGGCAGUGGAUAAGUGCCAACUUGGGGAUGGAGUUAGAAAGAAGGAAGGCGGGCUAGAUUCUUCAGGUCUGAUCUUCUAUCAUAUAACAUACAAGUCGGAUGUCAUGCAAGUUGUUUAAAAUCUACUACUAAAUUCAACUGUUUAAAGAAAUGUUGAAGUAUUAUAACAUUGCUUCCGCAGUUACCGAGAAUGGAGAGAAUUGGAGCAUGGGACAGAGGCAGCUGGUCUGUCUCGGGCGUGUGCUGCUCAAGAAAAGUAAGAUCCUAGUGCUUGAUGAAGCUACGGCAUCAGUUGAUACAGCUACCGAUAAUCUGAUUCAGACAACCUUAAGGGAGCACUUUUCUGACUGUACAGUCAUAACAAUUGCACACCGGAUCACUUCUGUUCUUGACAGUGAUCUGGUUCUGCUUCUAAGCCACGGUUAGCACGGUUGUGUUAUCUAUCAUUUGCUUGUAGGAUCCUUUGAACUUCAUUUCGUUUAAAACUAUGUUUAACUGUCGCAGGACUUGUCGAAGAAUACGAUUCUCCCGCUAGAUUGCUGGAAAACAAGUCUUCAGCUUUCGCACAGCUUGUAGCCGAGUAUACUGUGAGAUCAAAUUCAAGCCUGGAGAAGUUCGACUGAAUUAGAUGAUCACGAAAAAUAUAUGUUUGGUACUCAUUGGGAAUGUUUUGUACAAGACAAGCCUAGUAGUGUUCUUGGCUUCAAUAAACACUAGUUGUAUAUUUUCCUUUUCUCUCUUCUAUCAGUCUGCCAUUAUUAAGUUACAAAGAAUUUUUAAGACAUAUGUUCGGGCAAUUAGACGUUAACAAAAUUAAUGUAAAAAAAUUGUCAAAAACACGUGCGAAGAAAAAAAGUUUAUUAAUAUAAAGUCAACAAUUGGGUGGUGGGCCUUCACACGUCCAUUAAUGGGGCCCAUUUCAAAAAGAGAGUGUCCAGAUGAGUAUCCCCCAAGUUUUCGUUGUGAGCAAUGAGCAUACAAGUCGAAGCAAAACUGUGGGGUUUCAGUACGGCGCCGUUUUAAUUGUCUCUUUCCGGUUUUUGGGCAGACGGGCUGGAUUUGAGUCUUCGGUUUGGUUCACCGCCAGGUGUCAAUACAAUGACGGUUGGAAAUUCCAACGGUUUUUUGUUAGAGUUUCCCGGGUUUUUUUUUGUUCCUACUAAUUUACUAUUUUGUGGUUUGAGAAAUAUUUUAAAAUUGUUUUAAAUUUAUUUAUAAUAAAUAAAAAAGACCUUUGAUACCCACAAUUAUUAUUGUUUUGAGUUAUUUUCAAAUUAACCAACGAAAAUAAUUUUUGCUAAAAAGGGUCAUUAAUAUUUUUUAAUGAGUAAAAAGGGUCAUUAGGUUUAAAAUAAUAAUAAAAGAAUAUUUUUUUAUUUAUUUCUAAAAAUUAUUAAAAUAAUUAAAACUUAGCAACUUUUAACAGGUUCAUAGGAUCAGAUUAUGAUAAUCUUCAUGGAUAAAUGAAAGAAAAAUUAAUUCUUGAAUUAAAAAACAAAGGUUUGUUUUUUUCUUUGUUGAUAAUGCAAAAGUUCUGGUAAAAAUUUCAUUGCAAAAGAGGAGUUUUUUUGGGUUAAUUUCUAUUUCCCUCACUACAGAAUCACUCUCACUCUCUAUAUCUCUUCAGCUGUGUGUCUCUUAUGUUUUGUCUCUCUCUCUCUUUCAAAGAUCAAAACUUUCUCGGAAAGCCUCCAAGUUUUUUGUUUUUGGUCUCUCUUUUGAGGCUUAAGCCUCCCUUCCCUUUGCUCUCAUGCCGUCUCUCAAGUCUUGGUCUCCACGCAUAUCCCUUCCCCAAGUAAUCUUCCUUUGACUCUCUUCUUUUGUGUCCCUGUCUUGACUGUAACACUCCUUUAAGUCUCGUUUAUAUAUAAACUCAAAAACAAGCAAAAGUAUCUUCCAACAACACUGUAGUCCAAAAUUUUUCUUGAGUAAAAAGUCCAUAAAGAAUGAAACUUUUUGCUUCAGAAUCAUCUUUGCUAAUGAGUUCAGCUUCUAGUUUUCAUUUUCUCCUAAAACCCAUGUUUCUUCAUGGGCUUUCUGCUUCAUUGCACCUACUUUUAUUGCUUUUCUUGCUAGUCUUAUGGUUUGUGGACAGAGUUAAAGAAGCUGGCAGGGAAGGAUCGAAGGAAAGGAUAAGGCAAAGGAAGGUUUUAUGGUAUAAGCAAACUUUAGCUUGUUGUUUUAUUGUUUCAGCUUUCAACACUGUCUUGUGUUUGUUAAGUUAUUUUUAUUGGUAUAGAAAUGGUUGGUCUGAGGAUAAGUUAGUGACUCUUUCUGAUUAUGUGGUAAAAACACUUGCUUGGGGUGCAACGUGUGUUUAUUUGCAUUAUCAGUUCUCCCAUUCUGGUGAACAAAAGAAGUUCCCAUUUUUAUUGAGAAUUUGGUGGGGUUUUUAUUUUUCCAUUUCUUGUUAUUGUCUUGUUAUAGACGUUGUUCGUUACAAAGAACAUGUUUCUUUCCCAAGUCAGUAUUUAGUAUCCGAUGUUUUUUCUGUUAUUACUGGUUUGUUCCUAUGUAUUGUGGGGUUUUUUGGAGGAACUGAAGGUGAAGAUACCCUCCUUGAGGAGCCCCUUUUGAAUGGAGAUUCUAGUGUAGGUAAUGGUGUAGAGUUGAGUAAGAAAAAAAGAGGUGAUACUGUAACCCCAUAUUCAAAUGCUGGUAUUUUCAGCAUUCUUACAUUUUCUUGGAUGGGGCCUCUUAUUGCUGCUGGCAGUAAAAAACCUUUAGACCUUGAGGAUGUUCCUCAGCUAGAUAGCAGUGAUAGUGUUGUUGGCGCUUUUCCAAAUUUUAGAAACAGGCUCGAGUCAGCUGACAGUGAGGGGAGUGGAGUUACCGCGUUUAAGCUGGUGAAGGCACUGUUCUUCUCAGCUUGGAAAGAUAUUCUUUGGACAGCUUUGUUAGCGUUUAUGUACACUGUGGCUUCAUAUGUUGGCCCAUAUCUCAUUGACACUUUUGUUCAGUACCUGAAUGGGCAGCGGGAGUUUAAAAAUGAGGGGUAUCUUCUGGUUAUGGCUUUCUUUGUUGCAAAGCUAGUAGAGUGCUUAUCUCAGAGGCGCUGGUAUUUUAAGUUGCAGCAAGUAGGAAUUAGGCUGAGAGCAGUACUGGUAGCAAUGAUUUAUAACAAGGGUCUAACCCUUUCGUGCCAGUCAAAGCAGAGCCACACCAGUGGGGAGAUCAUCAAUUUCAUGACUGUCGAUGCAGAGAGGGUGGGUGAGUUUAUUUGGUACAUGCAUGAUCCAUGGAAGGUAGUUUUGCAAGUUGCUUUGGCGUUGUUGAUCUUGUAUAAAAAUCUUGGACUAGCAUUCAUUGCAACUUUUGUUGCAACAGUGCUUGUUAUGUUGGCAAAUAUUCCUUUGGGGAAAAUGCUAGAAAAGUUUCAGGAUAAGUUGAUGGAAGCUAAAGAUAAAAGGAUGAAGGCAACAUCAGAAAAUUUGAGGAACAUGAGAAUUCUCAAACUUCAAGGGUGGGAAAUGAAGUUUCUGUCAAAGAUUAUUGGGCUCAGGAAUGUUGAGGAAGAAUGGUUAAAAAGAUUUGUUUAUACAAGUGGCAUCACUGGUUUUGUUUUCUAUGUUGCACCCACAUUUGUGUCUGUAGCCACUUUUGGUGCUUGUAUUCUUUUAGGAGUCCCACUUGAAUCAGGGAAGAUCCUAUCUGCACUUGCAACAUUCAGGAUUCUUCAAGAGCCAAUCUACAGUCUUCCUGACACAAUUUCAAUGAUAGCUCAGACAAAGGUGUCUCUUGAUAGAAUUGCUUCCUUCCUUCGCCUUGAUGACUUGCAGCCUGAUGUUAUAUGGAGGCUUCCAAAAGGUAGUUCUGAUACUGCAAUUGAGAUUGUUGAUGCGAAUUUCUCUUGGGAUUUCUCUUCUGCUACUGGAACGCUAAAAGACAUAAAUUUGAAAGUUUUCCAUGGUAUGAGGGUUGCUGUUUGUGGUACAGUUGGCUCUGGCAAGUCGAGUUUGCUUUCCUGUAUUUUGGGGGAAUUACCCAAGAUAUCUGGAACUCUUAAAUUGUGUGGUACAAAGGCCUAUGUUGCUCAGUCGCCUUGGAUACAAAGUGGCAAGAUUGAAGAGAACAUAUUGUUUGGCAAGGAGAUGGAUAGGGAGAGGUAUGACAGAGUGCUUGAAGCUUGUAGCCUCAAUAAAGAUCUUGAAAUCCUCUCAUUUGGUGAUCAGACCAUUAUAGGUGAGAGGGGAAUCAAUUUGAGCGGUGGGCAGAAGCAAAGAGUACAGAUUGCACGUGCUUUAUACCAAGAUGCUGAUAUCUAUCUCUUUGACGAUCCAUUCAGCGCUGUGGAUGCGCACACAGGAUCUCAUUUAUUUAAGGUAACAUCUUUUCUUCUCUGAUACGAUGGCAUGUAGUUUAAAAGUUACUUUGAAUCUAUGCAGAAAGCUAUACUGCUCUAUCUACGGUAAUUAAUUGAACUACUAACAUUUGCACUUUUGUCAGCUGCUUAUUUGAGCUUUCUUCUUCAGUUGGUGCUUUGCCUGAGUAAUUGUUUAAUCUUUGAAUGAUAGGAAGUUUUACUAGGCAUUUUGAGUUCAAAAACAGUGAUUUAUGUCACUCAUCAAGUUGAGUUUUUACCAGCUGCUGAUCUAAUCUUGGUAAGCUAUUUACAUUUUCAGUGUUUUUAAUCCUACUCCUUGGAGGGUAGGCAAUAAUAUAACUACUGGAUUCAACUUGUACAUUUUUGUUAGGUCAUGAAAGAUGGCAGGAUUACACAAGCUGGAAAGUAUAAUGACAUUUUCAAUUCAGGAACUGACUUUAUGGAACUUGUGGGUGCACAUAAGAAAGCUUUGUCAGCCCUUGAUACUGUUGAUGCAGGAUCUGUUUCUGAAAAAAAAAUCAGUGAGGGAGAUGGUACUACGGGAUGUGCUAAUAGGAAAGUGCAGAAAGAAGAAAAGCAAGGUAAUGGGAGUGGUAAAGUAGAUGAUGUCGGGCCAAAAGGACAGCUUGUUCAAGAAGAAGAGCGAGAAAAAGGAAAAGUUGGGUUUUCAGUCUACUGGAAGUAUAUCACAACAGCAUAUGGGGGAGCUCUUGUGCCAUUAAUAUUGCUUGCGCAGAUUGUCUUUCAGAUUUUUCAAAUUGGUAGCAAUUAUUGGAUGGCUUGGGCAUCUUCCGUGUCUGCAGAUGUCAAACCUCCAGUUGGGAGCUUUACACUAAUAAUUGUCUAUUUAGCUUUGGCCAUUGCUAGUGCCUUUUCUGUCCUUGCCAGAGCCAUGCUUCUUCGUACAGCUGGAUACAAAACAGCCACUCUUCUCUUCAAAAAGAUGCAUUUUUGCAUUUUCCGUGCCCCUAUGUCUUUCUUUGAUUCCACACCAAGUGGAAGAAUUCUAAAUAGAGUUAGUAUCGAAUGUUUUCCUGUAUGGAUUUUAAACAUUCUAUUUAUCUUUUUUUGGGGGGCAUUCCUUUCUUGGUUUUGAAGGAUUCUAUUAACGUCCUGCCUCUUUUAGGCUUCUACAGAUCAAAGUGCAGUGGAUUUGAACAUUCCAAAUCAAGUUGGUGGAUCCGCCUUUUCAGUUAUCGGGCUCCUGGGAAUCAUUGCAGUCAUGUCUCAAGUUGCUUGGCAGAUCUUUAUCAUUUUUAUCCCUGUGAUUGCAACCUGCAUUUGGUAUCAGGUAACUCUUAUAACCUCAUGUGAUAUGCUGUCUGUCAAAUUGUGGCUAUGGAAUGCUUAACCUCAUAAACUUGUAACCAUGCAGCUAUAUAUUGUAAAUCUCGAAGUCGUUUGAAAAAGCAUUCAACCUUGCAUAAUACUUGGACAUAGGAAUUCUCAUAAACUUGUAAUCUUGCAGCAAUAUUACAUAUCUUCUGCACGAGAACUUGCACGAUUGGUUGGAGUAUGCAAAGCUCCAGUGAUACAGCAUUUUGCUGAAACAAUUUUAGGAGCAACAACUAUCAGGAGCUUUGAUCAAGAAUCAAGAUUCCAAGAGACAAACAUGAUACUAACUGAUGCAUAUUCUCGUCCAAAAUUUCAUGCUGCUGCUGCAAUGGAAUGGCUGUGCUUCCGCAUGGACAUGUUGUCUUCUAUUACUUUUGCCUUCUCUUUGUUCUUUUUGAUCUCUAUACCAGAGGGAGUUAUUGAUCCAGGUAAGUGAUUGCAGAUUGGCAUCUUUAUUGACUGACAUGUCAUUGUAGAUAACAGAUGUUAAAGGAGAAUGACUGAUAGUAUUUUCUUUUGUUUAGCCAUUGCUGGUUUAACUGUGACGUAUGGACUCAAUCUAAAUAUGUUGCAAGCUUGGGUAGUAUGGAAUAUUUGCAAUAUGGAGAAUAAAAUUAUAUCUGUUGAGAGACUGCUUCAGUACAGUAGUAUUCCUAGUGAGCCUGCCCUUGUGAUAGAAACUAAUCGCCCGGACUGUUCUUGGCCAUCUCAUGGAGAAGUUAAUAUUCAUGAUCUGCAGGUAAUGCAGUUAUGCGGUGUUUAUGACUCAAAGUUGUUAUGUGUUGUUUUUGAAAUAAAUGAUGAUGUUCGAUGUAGGUGCGGUAUGCUCCACACAUGCCACUCGUCUUGCGAGGUAUGACAUGCACAUUUCCUGGAGGGUUGAAAACUGGCAUUGUAGGGAGAACAGGGAGUGGUAAAACAACUCUCAUACAAACACUUUUCCGCAUAGUUGAACCUGCAGCGGGUCAGAUUGUAAUUGAUGGUGUCAAUAUCUCAUCAAUUGGACUGCAUGAUUUGAGGUCAAGACUCAGCAUUAUCCCUCAGGAUCCUACCAUGUUUGAGGGGAAUAUACGGAGUAAUUUGGAUCCUCUUGAAGAGUACACAGACGAACAGAUUUGGGUGGUGGGUUCAUUUCAUUUUGAUUACGAGAGAAAAGCUUUUCUAGUCUGUACCAUUUAUUUUCUAAUAAAAUGCUGUGUAUAUGGUUGGUAUUUGAAGUCUGAUAUGUGUUGAUCUACGUUUCGAUUUUUUAAGGCAUUGGAUAAGUGCCAACUUGGGGAUGGAGUUAGAAAGAAGGAAGGCGGGCUAGAUUCUUCAGGUCUGAUCUUCUAUCAUAUAACAUACAAGUCGGAUGUCAUGCAAGUUGUUUAAAAUCUACUACUAAAUUCAACUGUUUAAAGAAAUGUUGAAGUAUUAUAACAUUGCUUCUGCAGUUACCGAGAAUGGAGAGAAUUGGAGCAUGGGACAGAGGCAGCUGGUCUGUCUCGGGCGUGUGCUGCUCAAGAAGAGUAAGAUCCUAGUGCUAGAUGAAGCUACGGCAUCAGUUGAUACAGCUACCGAUAAUCUGAUUCAGACAACCUUAAGGGAGCACUUUUCUGACUGUACAGUCAUAACAAUUGCACACCGGAUCACUUCUGUUCUUGACAGUGAUCUGGUUCUGCUUCUAAGCCACGGUUAGCACGGUUGUGUUAUCUAUCACUUGCUUGUAGGAUCCUUUGAACUUCAUUUCGUUUAAAACUUUUUCUAACUGUCCCAGGACUUGUCGAAGAAUAUGAUUCUCCCGCUAGAUUGCUGGAAAACAAGUCUUCAGCUUUCGCACAGCUUGUAGCCGAGUAUACUGUGAGAUCAAAUUCAAGCCUGGAGAAGUUCGACUGAAUUAGAUGAUCACGAAAAAUAUAUGGUCGGUACUCAUUGGGAAUGUUUUGUACAAGACAAGCCUAGUAGUUUCCUGGGCUUCAAUAAACACUAGUUGUAUAUUUUCCUUUUCUCUCUUCUAUCAGUCUGCCAUUAUUAAGUUACAAAGAAUUUUUAAGACAUAUGUUACGUCAAGAAAAUUAAUGUGAAAAAUUGUCAAAAACACGUGCGAAGAAAAAAAUAUUAUUAAUAUAAAGUCAACAAUUGGGUGGUGGGCCACACGUCCGUUAGUGGGGCCCAUUUCAAAAAGAAAGUGUCCAGAUUAGUAUCCCCCAAGUUUUCGUGGUGUGCAAUGAGGAUACAAGUCGAAGCAAAACUGUGAGGCUUCAGUACGGCGCCGUUUUUAUUGUCGCUUUCCGGUUUUUGGUCAGACUGGCGGGAUUUGAGUCUCCGGUUUGGUUCACCGCCAGGUGUCUGAACAAUGGCGGUUGAUAAGUUCCAACGGUUUUUUGUUAGAGUUUCCCGGGUUUUUGUGGUUCCUACUAACUUACUAUUUCAUGGUUUGAGAAAUAUUUUAAAAUUGUUUUAAAUUUAUUUAUAAUAAAUAAAAAAGACUUUUGAUACCCACAAUUAUUAUUAUUUGAGUUAUCAUCAAAUUAACCAAUGAACAUUAAUUUUUUUUUUAAUGAGAAAAGAGGGACAUUAAGUUUAAAAUAAUAAUAAAAUAAAUUUUUUAUUUAUUUUUAAAAAUUAUUUUUAUUUUAAAUUUUAAAAAAAUCAAAUCUCAUUAUCAUACAUCAAUCAAUAAAUUAAAUACUUAUAUAUUAAUUUUAAAAAUUAUUAAAAUAAUAAAAAAAUAUCUUUUUAAGUAACCGUAAAAUUAGAUUUUGAUAAUCUUUUUUAUAAAUAAAAAAAAUUAAUUCUUGAAUUAAAAAAAGGUUUUUUUUCUUUAUUGGUAAUGCGAGAGUUGUAAAAAUUUCAUUAGAUAAUUUUGCCUAACGAAAAGGUGUUUCUUUUGGCUUUUUUCUUAUUUCCCUCGCUACAGAGUCACUCUCACUCUAUAUUUCUAUUUCAUUGUAUAUCUCUUAUGUUUUGUCUCUCUCUCUCUCAAAGCUCACACCUUUCCCGGAAAGCCUCCAAUUUUUUAAUGUUCUUGGGCUAUCUUUUGAGGCUUAAGCCUCCCUUCUCCUUUGCUCUCUCCGUCUCUCAGGUCUUGGUCUCCACGCAUACCCCUUCCCCAAGUAAUCUUUUUUUGGCUUUCUCCUUUUGAGUCCCGAUAUUGACUUUAACGCUCCUUUUAAGGCUCGUUGAGAUAUAAACUCAAAAACAGGAACUCUCAGACACUUACGCAAGCAAAAUCUUCUCCAACACUGAAAACCCAAGUUUUUUCUUCAGUAAAAAGUCCAAAAAGAAUGAAAUUUUUUGCUUCAGAAUCAUUUUUGCUAAUGAGUUCAGCUUCUAGUUUUGAUUUUCUCCUAAAACCCAUGUUUCUUCAUGGGUGUUCUGCUUCAUUGCACCUAGUUUUAUUGCUUUUCUUGCUGGUCUUAUGGGUAGUGAACAGAGUUAAAGAAGCUGGUGGGGAAGGAUCAAAGGAGAGGUUAAGGCCAACGAAGGUUUUAUGGUAUAAGCAAACUUUAGCUUGUUGUUUUAUUGUUUCGGCUUUCAAUACUGUCUUGUGUUUGUUAAGUUAUUUUUAUUGGUAUAGAAAUGGUUGGUCUGAGGAUAAGUUAGUGACUCUUUCUGAUUAUGUGGUAAAAACACUUGCUUGGGGUACAACGUGUGUUUAUUUGCAUUAUCAGUUCUCCGAUUCUUGUGAACAAAAGAAGUUCCCAUUAUUGUUGAGAAUUUGGUGGGGUUUUUAUUUUUCAAUUUCUUGUUAUUGUCUUGUUAUAGACGUUGUUCUUUACAAAGAACAUGUUUCUUUCCCAAGUCAGUAUUUAGUAUCCGAUGUUUUUUCUGUUGUUACUGGUUUCUUCCUAUGUAUUGUGGGGUUUUUCGGAAGAAAUGAGGGUGAAGAUACCCUCCUUGAGGAGCCCCUUUUGAAUGGAGAUUCUAGUGUAGGUAAUGGUGUAGAGUUGAGUAAGAAAAAAGGAGGUGAUACUGUAACCCCAUAUUCAAAUGCUGGUAUUUUCAGCAUUCUUACAUUUUCUUGGAUGGGGCCUCUCAUUGCUGCUGGCAAUAAAAAACCUUUAGACCUCGAGGAUGUUCCUCAGCUAGAUAGCAGUGAUAGUGUUGUUGGGGCUGUUCAAAAUUUUAUAAACAGGCUUGCCUCAGCUGACAGUGAGGGGAGUGGAGUUACCGUGCUUAAGCUGGUGAAGGCACUACUCUUCUCAGCUUGGAAAGAUAUUCUUUGGACAGCUUUGUUAGCGUUUAUGUACACUGUGGCUUCAUAUGUUGGCCCAUAUCUCAUUGACACUUUUGUUCAGUACCUGAAUGGGCAGCGGGAGUUUAAAAAUGAGGGGUAUCUUCUGGUUAUGGCUUUCUUUGUUGCAAAGCUAGUAGAGUGCUUAUCGCAGAGGCGCUGGUAUUUUAAGUUGCAGCAAAUAGGAAUUAGGCUGAGGGCAGUACUGGUAGCAAUGAUUUAUAACAAGGGUUUAACCCUUUCGUGCCAUUCAAAGCAGAGCCACACCAGUGGGGAGAUCAUCAAUUUCAUGACUGUUGAUGCAGAGAGGGUGGGUGAGUUUUGUUGGUACAUACAUGAUCUAUGGAUAGUAGCUUUGCAAGUUGCUUUGGCCUUGGUGAUCUUGUAUAAAAACCUUGGAUUAGCAUCCAUUGCAGCUUUUGUUGCAACAGUGCUUGUUAUGUUGGCAAAUAUUCCUCUCGGGAAAAUGCAAGAGAAGUGUCAGGACAAGUUGAUGGAAUCUAAAGAUAAAAGGAUGAAGGCAACAUCUGAAAUUUUGAGGAACAUGAGAAUUCUCAAACUUCAAGGGUGGGAAAUGAAGUUUCUGUCAAAGAUUAUUGGGCUCAGGAAUAUUGAGGAAGGAUGGUUAAAAAGAUUUGUUUAUACAAAUGGCAUCACUAGUUUUGUUUUCUAUGUUGCACCCUCAGUUGUGUCUGUAGCCACUUUUGGUGCUUCUAUUCUUUUAGGAGUCCGACUUGAGUCUGGGAAGAUCCUAUCUGCGCUUGCAACGUUCAGGAUUCUUCAAGAGCCAAUCUACAGUCUUCCUGACACAAUUUCAAUGAUAGCUCAGACAAAGGUGUCUCUUGAUAGAAUUGCUUCCUUCCUCCGCCUUGAUGACUUGCAGCCUGAUGUUAUAGAGAAGCUUCCAAAAGGUAGUUCUGAUACUGCAAUUGAGAUUGUUGAUGGGAAUUUUUCUUGGGAUUUCACUUCUGCUACUGCAACGUUAAAAGAUAUAAAUUUGAAAGUUUUCCAUGGUAUGAGGGUUGCUGUUUGUGGUACAGUUGGCUCUGGCAAGUCGAGUUUGCUUUCCUGUAUUUUGGGGGAAUUACCCAAGAUAUCUGGAACUCUUAAAUUGUGUGGUACAAAGGCCUAUGUUGCUCAGUCACCCUGGAUACAAAGUGGCAAGAUUGAAGAGAACAUAUUGUUUGGCAAGGAGAUGGACAGGGAGAGGUAUGACAGAGUGCUUGAAGCUUGUACCCUCAAGAAGGAUCUUGAAAUCCUCUCAUUUGGUGAUCAGACCAUUAUUGGUGAGAGGGGAAUCAAUUUGAGUGGUGGACAGAAACAGAGAAUACAGAUUGCACGUGCUUUAUACCAAGAUGCUGAUAUCUAUCUCUUUGAUGAUCCAUUCAGUGCUGUGGAUGCUCACACAGGAUCUCAUUUAUUUAAGGUAACAUUUUUCUACUCUAAUACUGUGGCAUGUGUUUUUAAAGUUACUUUUAGUCUAUGCAGAAAGGUAUACUGCUCUAUGUGAGGUUAAUUAAUUGAAACGCUAAUAUUUGCAUUUUUGUCAGCUUGUUAUUUGUGCUUUGCCCUUUUAUUUUUGAGCUUUCUUCUUCAGUUAUUGCUUUGCCUGAGUAUCUCUGUUUGAUCUUUGAAUGACAGGAAGUUUUACUUGGCAUUUUGAGUUCAAAAACAGUGAUUUAUGUCACUCAUCAAGUUGAGUUUUUACCAGCUGCUGAUCUAAUCUUGGUAAAGCUAUUUACAUUUUCAGUGAUUUUAAUCCUAUACCUUGGAGGGUAAGCAAUAAUAUAAUUACUGGAUUCAACUUGUACAUUUUUGUUAGGUCAUGAAAGAUGGCAGGAUUACACAAGCUGGAAAGUAUAAUGACAUUCUCAAUUCAGGAACUGACUUUAUGGAACUUGUGGGUGCACAUAAGAAAGCUUUGUCAGCCCUUGAUACUGUUGAUGCAGGAUCUGUUUCUGAAAAAAAUAUCAGUGAGGGAGAUCCUACUACGGGAUGUGCCAAUGGGAACGUGCAGAAAGAAGAUAACCAAGGUAAUGAGAGUGGUAAAGUAGAUGAUGUCAGGCCAAAAGGACAGCUUGUUCAAGAAGAGGAGAGAGAAAAAGGAAAAGUUGGGUUUUCAGUCUACUGGAAGUAUAUCACAACAGCAUACGGAGGAGCUCUUGUGCCUUUAAUAUUGCUUGCACAGAUUGUCUUUCAGAUUUUUCAAAUUGGCAGCAAUUAUUGGAUGGCCUGGGCGUCUCCCGUGUCUGCAGAUGUCAAACCUCCAGUUGGGAGCUUUACACUAAUAAUUGUCUAUUUAGCUUUGGCCAUUGCUAGUGCCUUUUCUGUCCUUGCCAGAGCCAUGCUUCUUCGUACAGCUGGAUACAAAACAGCCACUCUUCUCUUCAAAAAGAUGCAUUUAUGCAUUUUCCGUGCCCCUAUGUCUUUCUUUGAUUCCACACCAAGUGGAAGAAUACUAAACAGAGUUAGUAUCUAAUGUUUUCCUCUAUGGAUUUUAAAUAUUCCAUUUUAAUUUUUUGGGCGGCAUUCCUUCCUUGUUUUUUAAGGAUUCUGUUAUUGUCCUGCCUCUUUUAGGCUUCUACAGAUCAAAGUGCUGUGGAUUUGAACAUUCCGUAUCAAGUUGGUUCAUUCGCCUUUUCAGUUAUCCAGCUCCUUGGAAUCAUCGCAGUCAUGUCUCAGGUUGCUUGGCAGAUCUUUAUCAUUUUUAUCCCUGUGAUUGCUACCUGCAUUUGGUACCAGGUAACCCUUGUCACCUCAUAUAGUAUGCUGUCUGUCGAAUUGUGGCUAUAGAAUGCAUAACCUUAUAAACUUGCAACCAUGAAGCUAUUUAUUGUAAAUCUCAAAGUCAUUUGAAAAAACAUUCCACCUUGCAUAAUACUUGGACAUAGUAAUUCUCAUAAACUUGUAAUCUUGCAGCAAUAUUAUAUAUCUUCUGCACGAGAACUUGCACGAUUGGUUGGAGUAUGCAAAGCUCCAGUGAUACAGCAUUUUGCUGAAACAAUUUUAGGAGCAACAACUAUCAGGAGCUUUGAUCAAGAGUCAAGAUUCCAAGAGACAAGCAUGAAACUAACUGAUGGGUAUUCUCGUCCAAAAUUUCAUGCUGCUGCUGCAAUGGAAUGGCUGUGCUUCCGCAUGGACAUGUUGUCUUCUAUUACUUUUGCUUUCUCUUUGUUCUUUUUGAUCUCUAUACCAGAGGGAGUUAUUGACCCAGGUAAUUGAUUUCAGAUUGGCAUCUUUAUUGACUACAAUGUCAUUGUAGAUAACAGAUGUUAGAGGAGAAUGACUGAAGUUUUUUCUUUUGUUUAGCCAUUGCUGGUUUAGCUGUGACGUAUGGACUCAAUCUAAAUAUGUUGCAAGCUUGGGUAGUUUGGAAUAUUUGCAAUAUGGAGAAUAAAAUUAUAUCUGUUGAGAGACUGCUUCAGUACAGUAGUGUUCCUAGUGAGCCUGCCCUUGUGAUAGAAACUAAUCGCCCGGACCAUUCUUGGCCAUCUCAUGGAGAAGUUAAUAUUCAUGAUCUGCAGGUAAUGCAGUUAUGUGGUGUUUAUGACUCUAAGUUGUUAUGUGUUUUUGAAAUAAAUGAUGAUGUUCGAUGUAGGUGCGGUAUGCUCCACACAUGCCACUCGUCUUGCGAGGUAUGACCUGCACAUUUCCAGGAGGGUUGAAAACUGGCAUUGUAGGUAGAACAGGGAGUGGUAAAACAACUCUCAUACAAACACUUUUCCGCAUAGUUGAACCUGCAGCGGGUCAGAUUGUAAUCGAUGGUGUCAAUAUCUCAACAAUUGGACUGCAUGAUUUGCGGUUAAGACUCAGCAUCAUCCCUCAGGACCCUACUAUGUUUGAAGGGACUAUACGGAGUAAUUUGGAUCCUCUUGAAGAGUACACAGAUGAACAGAUUUGGGAGGUGGGUUCAUUUCAUUUUGUUAUGAGAGAAAAGCAUUUCUAGUCUGUACCAUUUCUUUUCUAAUAAAAUGCAUAGUCUUUAUGAUUGAUAUUUGAAGUCUGAUAUGUGUUGAUGUAUGUUUUGAUUUUCA